RNAcentral lists this ribosomal RNA (253 nucleotides) under uncultured bacterium. RNAcentral describes it as "partial 16S ribosomal RNA". It matches the Rfam family "Bacterial small subunit ribosomal RNA", at positions 524 to 776 of the family's 1533-position model. The record is from RNAcentral.
UACGGGGGGGGCAAGCGUUGUUCGGAAUUACUGGGCGUAAAGGGUUUGUAGGUGGUCUGUUAAGUCAGACGUGAAAUCCCUCAGCUUAACUGGGGAACUGCGUCUGAGACUGAUGGACUUGAGGGCAGGAGAGGAACGCGGAAUUCCAGGUGUAGCGGUGAAAUGCGUAGAUAUCUGGAGGAACACCGGUGGCGAAGGCGGCGUUCUGGACUGUUUCUGACACUGUAAAACGAAAGCCAGGGGAGCAAACGGG